AAGGAGGACCACACAUGAACAUUAUUUAAGAAGUACAUAGUGCUAAUGGCCUUGAUGCUCCCAUUCGAUAACAAGUUGUAGCACGCCUAUUAUUGCAAGAGUGAAGAGGGUAUUGUUAACAGGUAAUUAAAUUAUAUUUAUUAGAGAUCGAGACUAUGGAUGAUAAAGAGCCUACUCCAGAAAUCACUGCUCCGGAUAUUAAAGUUAGAUUUGUUAAUGAUAAUGUCUUAAUCACAAUUGUUCAUGAGAUACCACAUGGUCUUGUUACCAAAAUUAUGAGAGAGAUUUCAAAUCUCCAUCUAUUCAUUGCCAACAUGAAUUCUAUGCCAAUAGGCAACAUUUCUCAAGUAUCCAUUGUCGCUGAGAUGGAAUCAGAUUUUAAGACGAGUCAAGAGGAUUUGGAGAGCAAUCUUCAUUCGAUUUUCCUUUGAUUAGAUUUGUGGUCUGAGGUUUUGUUUGUUCAAAGACUUUCCGACUUAUGCCGUGGGAAGUGAUAAAUCCAGGAAAAAUUUUACUUCUUCAAAGAAAAUCCACAUUUUUUUAAAGUUUAUUUCUUUGGAAAAGUGAAAAUUUUCCUUGAAUUUAUGAUUUCCCGUAUGUCGUCGCCACACCCAAAUUUCGAAUUGUUUUUGUUUUUAUUUUUAUUUUACAUGUUUGAAUAAUUCUUGAACUUUUAUUUGAUGCUAUUAUGAAUGAAAGUAAUCUUCUUAAUGAGAAUAAUGAUUGGCGUGACCGCGUGAGUAA
Molecule: long non-coding RNA, 744 nt
Organism: Spinacia oleracea (spinach)
Lineage: Eukaryota; Viridiplantae; Streptophyta; Magnoliopsida; Caryophyllales; Amaranthaceae
Exons: 3
Source: RefSeq, a predicted model, not a curated record